CAACUAAUGCAUAAAGAACCUUGAAGAAACUCUGAGCCUUAAACAUGCUUUUUAUCAGUAUCUAUUAUGUUUACCUAAUGAGUGCAAUUGAAAAUAAAUAUGUAAAUGCACACACAUCCAUUCUUGUAUGCAUAGGAUGGACUUGACUUUAAAUAGCGAACAUAAAUGAGGUGCUACAGUUUGCAAUCCCAUGUCUUUACUCAUCAUGAACUAUUUCCCAGCAGCAUUUGCUCAAUAAAUGUCAUACUGAAAUACAAA
Salmo salar (Atlantic salmon) is the source of this 258-nucleotide non-coding RNA. Lineage: Eukaryota; Metazoa; Chordata; Actinopteri; Salmoniformes; Salmonidae. The record is from RefSeq and is a predicted model, not a curated record.